This 72-nucleotide transfer RNA is filed under the name Pelobates cultripes (western spadefoot toad). RNAcentral's name for it is "tRNA.Met". It matches the Rfam family "tRNA". From Rfam's summary of the family: Transfer RNA (tRNA) molecules are approximately 80 nucleotides in length. Their secondary structure includes four short double-helical elements and three loops (D, anti-codon, and T loops). Lineage: Eukaryota; Metazoa; Chordata; Amphibia; Anura; Pelobatidae. The record is from RNAcentral.
AGUAUAGUGGUGCAGCGGAAGCAUGCUGGGCCCAUAACCCAGAGGUUGAUGGAUCAAAACCAUCCUCUGCUA